This 1083-nucleotide non-coding RNA is filed under the name Pongo abelii (Sumatran orangutan). Lineage: Eukaryota; Metazoa; Chordata; Mammalia; Primates; Hominidae. The record is from RNAcentral.
AGCGCGCGGCUGCGGCGCGGGAAGCAACCCAGAGCCCUCCUCCCACCUGCUCUGUGUAGGAGACAGCCUGCGGAGCCCACUGCCGGCGCGCCGAGAGCCCAGCAGCUCUUGAGUCCGGGAAGCAAGGGUGGGCGGAGGGACGAGCCAGUGGCAAUGACCCAGACUCCGACCCCCAUUGCUGACCCAGCGGAGCUGCUUGGAGGCAGAGGUUGCAGUGAGCUGAGAUUUUGCCACUACACUCCAACCUGGGCAACAGAGCGAGACUCCAUUCCAAAAAAAUAAGAAAAAGAAAAACAGAAAAAUAAUAAUUACAUCUGCAAAGACCUUAUUUCCAGGCUGAAGCAGAGUCUUCCUCCUGGUGUUCCAGCAGGAGUUUAAGGUCCUGCUCCAUAUAGGACAGCCAGAUUCUGAGGGCAAUGUUGAGAUCCUCAUCUCCAGAAGGUGCUGGUGCCAGAAACAUGACAAAAGGCUGAUUCACGGGCCAGGCGCAGUGGCUCACGCCUGUAUUCCCAGCACUUUGGGAGGCCAAGGCGGGUGGAUCAUGAGGUCAAGAGUUCGAGACCAUCCUGGCCAAUAUGGUGAAACCCUGUCUCUACUAAAAAUACAAAAAAUUAGCUGGGCGUGGUGGCGCGCACCUGUAGUCCCGGCUACUUGGCAGGCUGAGGCAGGAGAAUUGCUCGAACCGGGAGGAGGAGGUUGCAGUGAGCAGAGAUCAUGCCACUGCUCUCCAGCCUGGGCGGCAGACUGAGUGAGAUUCCAUCUGAAAAAAAAAAGAGGCCUGGUGUGGUGGCUCAGGCCUGUAAUCCUAGCACUUUUGGGAGGCUGAGGCAGGUGGAUCACCUGAGGUCAAGAGGUCAGGACCAGCCUGUCCAACAUGGUGAAACCCCGUCUCUACUAAAAAUGCAAAAAUUAGCCGGAUGUGGUGGCACAUGCCUGUAAUCCCAGCUACUUCGGAGGCUGAGGCAGGAGAAUCAUUUGAACCCAGGGUGUGGAAGUUGCAGUGAACCAAGACCGUGCCACUUCACUGGGCGAAAAAGCAAAACUUCAUCUCCAAAAAAAGAAAAGUAUUAAAAAAAAAAAAAA